CAGCAGCCGCCACGGUAAUACAGAGGAUGCAAGCGUUAUCCGGAAUGAUUGGGCGUAAAGCGUCUGUAGGUGGCUUUUCAAGUCCGCCGUCAAAUCCCCGGGCUCAACCCUGGACAGGCAGUGGAAACUACCAAGCUAGAGUAAGGUAGGGGCAGAGGGAAUUUCCGGUGGAGCGGUGAAAUGCGUUGAGAUCGGAAAGAACACCAACGACGAAAGCACUCUGCUGGGCCGACACUGACACUGAGAGACGAAAGCUAGGGGAGCAAAUGGGAUUAGAUACCCGUGUAGUCCCUGUCUCUUAUAC
RNAcentral lists this ribosomal RNA (304 nucleotides) under uncultured bacterium. RNAcentral describes it as "partial 16S ribosomal RNA". It matches the Rfam family "Bacterial small subunit ribosomal RNA", at positions 509 to 807 of the family's 1533-position model. The record is from RNAcentral.